CAGCCGCCGCGGUAAUACGUAGGGUGCAAGCGUUAAUCGGAAUUACUGGGCGUAAAGCGUGCGCAGGCGGUUAUAUAAGACAGAUGUGAAAUCCCCGGGCUCAACCUGGGAACUGCAUUUAUGACUGUAUAGCUAGAGUACGGCAGAGGGGGAUGGAAUUCCGCGUGUAGCAGUGAAAUGCGUAGAUAUGCGGAGGAACACCGAUGGCGAAGGCAAUCCCCUGGGCCUGUACUGACGCUCAUGCACGAAAGCGUGGGGAGCAAACAGGAUUAGAUACCCCUGUAGUCCCUGUCUCUUAUAC
This 301-nucleotide ribosomal RNA is filed under the name uncultured bacterium. Its description in RNAcentral is "partial 16S ribosomal RNA". It matches the Rfam family "Bacterial small subunit ribosomal RNA", at positions 509 to 807 of the family's 1533-position model. The record is from RNAcentral.